CCUACGGGCGGCAGCAGUGGGGAAUAUUGGACAAUGGGGGGAACCCUGAUCCAGCGACGCCGCGUGAGUGAAGAAGUAUUUCGGUAUGUAAAGCUCUAUCAGCAGGGAAGAAAGAAAUGACGGUACCUGACUAAGAAGCCCCGGCUAACUACGUGCCAGCAGCCGCGGUAAUACGUAGGGGGCAAGCGUUAUCCGGAUUUACUGGGUGUAAAGGGAGCGUAGACGGCGAUGCAAGUCUGAAGUGAAAGGCGGGGGCCCAACCCCCGGACUGCUUUGGAAACUGUAUGGCUGGAGUGAAGGAGAGGUAAGUGGAAUUCCUAGUGUAGCGGUGAAAUGCGUAGAUAUUAGGAGGAACACCAGUGGCGAAGGCGGCUUACUGGACUGUAACUGACGUUGAGGCUCGAAAGCGUGGGGAGCAAACAGGAUUAGAUACCCGGGUAGUC
RNAcentral lists this ribosomal RNA (443 nucleotides) under uncultured bacterium. RNAcentral's name for it is "partial 16S ribosomal RNA". It matches the Rfam family "Bacterial small subunit ribosomal RNA", at positions 338 to 795 of the family's 1533-position model. The record is from RNAcentral.